GAUGAAGAACGCAGCGAAAUGCGAUAAGUAAUGUGAAUUGCAGAAUUCAGUGAAUCAUCGAAUCUUUGAACGCACCUUGCACCCUUUGGUAUUCCGAAGGGUAUGCUCGUUUGAGUGUCAUUGUACUCUCACACUUCUAAUUCCUUUCGGGAUUGGGAGCGGUGGACUUGGGUGUUGCUGCUUUAGUUGUGGCUCACCUCAAAUAAGUUAGUGCAACUCUUGGUUGGACAUAGUACGGCGUGAUAAGUGUCUUCGCCGGCGCCUCUGUAAGGAGGGUGGCCGAUCGGGAGCUCUGUGCUUCAAACCGUCUUCGGACAAUCUUUGACAACUUGACCUCAAAUCGAGUAGGACUACCCGCUGAACUUAAGCAUAUCAAAAGCGGAGGA
Molecule: unclassified non-coding RNA, 386 nt
Filed under: soil metagenome
Description: partial contains 5.8S ribosomal RNA, internal transcribed spacer 2, and large subunit ribosomal RNA
Rfam family: 5.8S ribosomal RNA (bases 1-120)
Source: RNAcentral